Molecule: ribosomal RNA, 493 nt
Filed under: uncultured bacterium
Lineage: Bacteria
Description: partial 16S ribosomal RNA
Rfam family: Bacterial small subunit ribosomal RNA
Source: RNAcentral
AUUGAACGCUGGCGGCAUGCCUUACACAUGCAAGUCGAACGGUAACAGGUUAAGCUGACGAGUGGCGAACGGGUGAGUAAUAUAUCGGAACGUGCCCAGUCGUGGGGGAUAACUGCUCGAAAGAGCAGCUAAUACCGCAUACGACCUGAGGGCGAAAGCGGGGGAUCGCAAGACCUCGCGCGAGUGGCGCGGCCGAUAUCAGAUUAGGUAGUUGGGGGGGUAAAGGCCCACCAAGCCAACGAUCUGUAGCUGGGCUGAGAAGACGACCAGCCACACUGGGACUGAGACACGGCCCAGACUCCUACGGGAGGCAGCAGUGGGGAAUUUUGGACAAUGGGCGCAAGCCUGAUCCAGCCAUGCCGCGUGCGGGAAGAAGGCCUUCGGGUUGUAAACCGCUUUUGUCAGGGAAGAAAAGGUUCUGGUUAAUACCUGGGACUCAUGACGGUACCUGAAGAAUAAGCACCGGCUAACUACGUGCCAGCCGCCGCCGUAA